This 23-nucleotide non-coding RNA is filed under the name Arabidopsis thaliana (thale cress). Lineage: Eukaryota; Viridiplantae; Streptophyta; Magnoliopsida; Brassicales; Brassicaceae. The record is from RNAcentral.
CGUUAUCGUCCAGCGGUUAGGAU